This 88-nucleotide transfer RNA is filed under the name Kwoniella mangroviensis CBS 8886. RNAcentral describes it as "tRNA-Thr". It matches the Rfam family "tRNA". From Rfam's summary of the family: Transfer RNA (tRNA) molecules are approximately 80 nucleotides in length. Their secondary structure includes four short double-helical elements and three loops (D, anti-codon, and T loops). The record is from RNAcentral. Lineage: Eukaryota; Fungi; Basidiomycota; Tremellomycetes; Tremellales; Cryptococcaceae.
GCUCGUGUAGUUUAGUGGUUUAUAAUUUUGCACUUGUAUGAGAAUACAAUCGAUGCAAGGGUCAUGUGUUCGAAUCACAUCAUGAGCA